This 315-nucleotide ribosomal RNA is filed under the name uncultured Tomentella. RNAcentral describes it as "eukaryotic LSU rRNA". The stretch from base 260 to 315 matches the Rfam family "Eukaryotic large subunit ribosomal RNA", at positions 1 to 56 of the family's 3401-position model. Lineage: Eukaryota; Fungi; Basidiomycota; Agaricomycetes; Thelephorales; Thelephoraceae. The record is from RNAcentral.
UGGCUAUUCCGAGGGCAUGCCUGUUUGAGUAUCAUGAACACCUCAACUCCUCAUGGUUUGCCAUGAUGAGCUUGGACCUUGGGGGUAUUGCUGGCCCUGUGGUUGGCUCCUCUCAAAUGGAUCAGCUUGCCAGUGUUUGGUGGCAUCACAGGUGUGAUAAAUAUCUACGCUUGUGGUUUUCCACCAUGUAACCUUCAGCGAUGAAGGUGCACUGGAGCUCACAAAUGUCCCUCCUCAGUGAGGACAGCUUUUGAACGUUUGAUCUCAAAUCAGGUAGGAUUACCCGCUGAACUUAAGCAUAUCAAUAAGCGGAGG